This 1327-nucleotide ribosomal RNA is filed under the name Burkholderia cenocepacia. Its description in RNAcentral is "23S ribosomal RNA (partial)". It matches the Rfam family "Bacterial large subunit ribosomal RNA", at positions 178 to 1552 of the family's 2925-position model. The record is from RNAcentral. Lineage: Bacteria; Pseudomonadati; Pseudomonadota; Betaproteobacteria; Burkholderiales; Burkholderiaceae.
AGCGAACGCGGUGAACUGAAACAUCUAAGUAACCGCAGGAAAAGAAAUCAACCGAGAUUCCCAAAGUAGUGGCGAGCGAAAUGGGAUGAGCCUUGCACUCUUUAUUUGUAUUGUUAGCCGAACGCUCUGGAAAGUGCGGCCAUAGCAGGUGAUAGCCCUGUAGGCGAAAACAGUAUGAAAGAACUAGGUGUGCGACAAGUAGGGCGGGACACGUGAAAUCCUGUCUGAAGAUGGGGGGACCAUCCUCCAAGGCUAAAUACUCGUGAUCGACCGAUAGUGAACCAGUACCGUGAGGGAAAGGCGAAAAGAACCCCGGGAGGGGAGUGAAAUAGAUCCUGAAACCGCAUGCAUACAAACAGUCGGAGCCUCGUAAGGGGUGACGGCGUACCUUUUGUAUAAUGGGUCAGCGACUUACGUUCAGUAGCAAGCUUAACCGUAUAGGGCAGGCGUAGCGAAAGCGAGUCCGAAUAGGGCGUUCAGUUGCUGGGCGUAGACCCGAAACCAAGUGAUCUAUCCAUGGCCAGGAUGAAGGUGCGGUAACACGUACUGGAGGUCCGAACCCACUAACGUUGAAAAGUUAGGGGAUGAGCUGUGGAUAGGGGUGAAAGGCUAAACAAACUUGGAAAUAGCUGGUUCUCUCCGAAAACUAUUUAGGUAGUGCCUCGUGUCUCACCUUCGGGGGUAGAGCACUGUCAUGGUUGGGGGGUCUAUUGCAGAUUACCCCGCCAUAGCAAACUCCGAAUACCGAAGAGUGCAAUCACGGGAGACAGACAUCGGGUGCUAACGUCCGGUGUCAAGAGGGAAACAACCCAGACCGCCAGCUAAGGUCCCCAAAUAUAGCUAAGUGGGAAACGAAGUGGGAAGGCUAAAACAGUCAGGAGGUUGGCUUAGAAGCAGCCACCCUUUAAAGAAAGCGUAAUAGCUCACUGAUCGAGUCGUCCUGCGCGGAAGAUGUAACGGGGCUAAGCUAUAUACCGAAGCUGCGGAUGCGUGCUUAGCACGCAUGGUAGGAGAGCGUUCUGUAAGCCUGCGAAGGUGUCUCGGAAGGGAUGCUGGAGGUAUCAGAAGUGCGAAUGCUGACAUGAGUAGCGAUAAAGGGGGUGAAAGGCCCCCUCGCCGUAAGCCCAAGGUUUCCUACGCAACGUUCAUCGGCGUAGGGUGAGUCGGCCCCUAAGGCGAGGCAGAAAUGCGUAGCUGAUGGGAAGCAGGUCAAUAUUCCUGCACCAUUGUUAGAUGCGAUGGGGGGACGGAUCGCGGAAGGUUGUCCGGGUGUUGGAAGUCCCGGUCGCUGCAUUGGAGAAGGCGCUUAGGCAAAUCCGGGCGCGUA